This 492-nucleotide ribosomal RNA is filed under the name uncultured bacterium. Its description in RNAcentral is "partial 16S ribosomal RNA". It matches the Rfam family "Bacterial small subunit ribosomal RNA", at positions 29 to 507 of the family's 1533-position model. The record is from RNAcentral.
AGUGAACGCUGGCGGUAGGCCUAACACAUGCAAGUCGAACGGCAGCACAGUAAGAGCUUGCUCUUACGGGUGGCGAGUGGCGGACGGGUGAGGAAUACAUCGGACUCUACUUUUUCGUGGGGGAUAACGUAGGGAAACUUACGCUAAUACCGCAUACGACCUACGGGUGAAAGCAGGGGAUCUUCGGACCUUGCGCGAUUGAAUGAGCCGAUGUCGGAUUAGCUAGUUGGCGGGGUAAAGGCCCACCAAGGCGACGAUCCGUAGCUGGUCUGAGAGGAUGGUCAGCCACACUGGAACUGAGACACGGUCCAGACUCCUACGGGAGGCAGCAGUGGGGAAUAUUGGACAAUGGGCGCAAGCCUGAUCCAGCCAUACCGCGUGGGUGAAGAAGGCCUUCGGGUUGUAAAGCCCUUUUGUUGGGAAAGAAAAGCAGCAGGUUAAUACCCCGCUGUUCUGACGGUACCCAGAGAAGAAGCACCGGCUAACUUCGUG